AUUUCUGGCGGGAUGCUAAAGCAUACAACCUGUUCUGACCAAUACUAAAACUAGGAGAAGUAAUAGAAGAAGAUGCCAUACCACCAGAUGUAGAAGUAGAAGAUGAAGCCACCAAAAUCUUAUUUGCCCCUAUAGUAACCUUGUUGACCUGAUAAUCCUUAAUCUGAUGGUCUACCUGACCACAUUUAAAGAACUUAUCUUUACUUUCCUUACAGAAUCCCCAAUAAGGACGACCGCAGAUCCGACAAGAAGGGCAAGAAAAAACAUACUGAACUCCACUCGCCUGAGACUGGGCAACCUAAGCUUUAGAAUUAUCACCACCUUGGUGACGCCUAUCGCCCGACUGUUGUG
RNAcentral lists this long non-coding RNA (351 nucleotides) under Capsicum annuum. RNAcentral's name for it is "long non-coding RNA (CANN_LNC007208)". Lineage: Eukaryota; Viridiplantae; Streptophyta; Magnoliopsida; Solanales; Solanaceae. The record is from RNAcentral.